AAAACUCUGUCCUCAAGGAAGAUAAUGACGGUACUUGAGGAGGAAGCCCCGGCUAACUACGUGCCAGCAGCCGCGGUAAUACGUAGGGGGCUAGCGUUAUCCGGAUUUACUGGGCGUAAAGGGUGCGGAGGCGGUCUUUCAAGUCAGGAGUGAAAGGCUACGGCUCAACCGUAGUAAGCUCUUGAAACUGGGAGACUUGAGUGCAGGAGAGGAGAGUGGAAUUCCUAGUGUAGCGGUGAAAUGCGUAGAUAUUAGGAGGAACACCAGUUGCGAAGGCGGCUCUCUGGACUGUAACUGACGCUGAGGCACGAAAGCGUGGGGAGCAAACAGGAUUAGAUACCCUGGUAGUCCACGCUGUAAACGAUGAGUACUAGGUGUCGGGGGUUACCCCC
Molecule: ribosomal RNA, 392 nt
Filed under: Clostridioides difficile
Lineage: Bacteria; Bacillati; Bacillota; Clostridia; Peptostreptococcales; Peptostreptococcaceae
Description: bacterial SSU rRNA
Rfam family: Bacterial small subunit ribosomal RNA
Source: RNAcentral